ACGCUGGCGGCAGGCCUAACACAUGCAAGUCGAGCGGUAGAGAGAAGCUUGCUUCCCUUGAGAGCGGCGGACGGGUGAGUAAUGCCUAGGAAUCUGCCUGGUAGUGGGGGAUAACGUUCGGAAACGGACGCUAAUACCGCAUACGUCCUACGGGAGAAAGCAGGGGACCUUCGGGCCUUGCGCUAUCAGAUGAGCCUAGGUCGGAUUAGCUAGUUGGUGGGGUAAUGGCUCACCAAGGCGACGAUCCGUAACUGGUCUGAGAGGAUGAUCAGUCACACUGGAACUGAGACACGGUCCAGACUCCUACGGGAGGCAGCAGUGGGGAAUAUUGGACAAUGGGCGAAAGCCUGAUCCAGCCAUGCCGCGUGUGUGAAGAAGGUCUUCGGAUUGUAAAGCACUUUAAGUUGGGAGGAAGGGCAGUAAAUUAAUACUUUGCUGUUUUGACGUUACCGACAGAAUAAGCACCGGCUAACUCUGUGCCAGCAGCCGCGGUAAUACAGAGGGUGCAAGCGUUAAUCGGAAUUACUGGGCGUAAAGCGCGCGUAGGUGGUUCGUUAAGUUGGAUGUGAAAUCCCCGGGCUCAACCUGGGAACUGCAUUCAAAACUGACGAGCUAGAGUAUGGUAGAGGGUGGUGGAAUUUCCUGUGUAGCGG
This 653-nucleotide ribosomal RNA is filed under the name uncultured bacterium. Its description in RNAcentral is "bacterial SSU rRNA". It matches the Rfam family "Bacterial small subunit ribosomal RNA", at positions 33 to 681 of the family's 1533-position model. The record is from RNAcentral.